Molecule: ribosomal RNA, 406 nt
Filed under: uncultured bacterium
Lineage: Bacteria
Description: partial 16S ribosomal RNA
Rfam family: Bacterial small subunit ribosomal RNA
Source: RNAcentral
AUUGAACGCUGGCGGCAGGCCUAACACAUGCAAGUCGAGCGAGCGGCGGACGGGUGAGUAAUGUCUGGGGACCUGCCCGAUAGAGGGGGAUAACUACUGGAAACGGUGGCUAAUACCGCAUACUAUCGGAUGUACCCAUAUUGGAUUAGCUAGUAGGUGGGGUAACGGCUCACCUAGGCGACGAUCUCUAGCUGGUCUGAGAGGCUGAACAGCCACACUGGAACUGAGACACGGCCCAGACUCCUACGGGAGGCAGCAGUGGGGAAUAUUGCACAAUGGGCGCAAGCCUGAUGCAGCCAUGCCGCGUGUAUGAAGAAGGCCUUAGGGUUGUAAAGUACUUUCAGCGGGGAGGCGUUACCCGCAGAAGAAGCACCGGCUAACUCCGUGCAAGCAGCCGCGGUAAUUC